This 443-nucleotide ribosomal RNA is filed under the name uncultured soil bacterium. RNAcentral's name for it is "bacterial SSU rRNA". It matches the Rfam family "Bacterial small subunit ribosomal RNA", at positions 26 to 518 of the family's 1533-position model. The record is from RNAcentral.
AGAACGAACGCUGGCGGCAUGCCUAACACACGCAAGUCGAACGAGACCUUCGGGUCUAGUGGCGCACGGGUGCGUAACGCGUGGGAAUCUGCCCUUGGGUUCGGAAUAACAGUUGGAAACGACUGCUAAUACCGGAUGAUGACGUAAGUCCAAAGAUUUAUCGCCCAGGGAUGAGCCCGCGUAGGAUUAGCUAGUUGGUGAGGUAAAGGCUCACCAAGGCGACGAUCCUUAGCUGGUCUGAGAGGAUGAUCAGCCACACUGGGACUGAGACACGGCCCAGACUCCUACGGGAGGCAGCAGUGGGGAAUAUUGGACAAUGGGCGAAAGCCUGAUCCAGCAAUGCCGCGUGAGUGAUGAAGGCCUUAGGUGUAAAGCUCUUUUACCCGGGAUGAUAAUGACAGUACCGGAGAAUAAGCUCCGGCUAACUCCGCGCCAGCAGCCGC